AAAUAAUCAAACGUAAAUAUCUAAAAUAGUUAAAAUAUACUCAAAACUCCAAAAAUACUUAAAUAACUAUUAAUUCUCUGUCCAAAUAUUUAAACCAAAUCAAUUUAUGUGUUAAGUUAGGUACUCUAACAUAUGUUAUUCAAAAUUAUAGUUUUUUUUUUAAAUUAAAGCAUAUAAAAAAUUUUAAAUUUUUUAAAAUAAUUUAAAUUGGUUAUCUAAAUCCGAACCCAAUCCUCAAAGAUCUGAACCGAACACGAAAUCCCAAAUAGACCCGAAAACGAACCGAACGCCCACCCCUAAUCAAUAUUGUAUAUCCUAUAUGUGUCAUCAUAGGUUACAAAUUUUUUUUGUUAUCAUAGUCCUUAACUCCAUCUGCAAAGCGGUACUCCUAUAAAAGGUAAAUCUUCUUUUCUCUCAAUCAUAAAAUUUCCAGAUAUCCCAAUGAUACGGGCGUAAAAACUCAUAAUGAUCACUGUUUUUCUCAAGAUUUAGUUUAUGGGCUUUUACGAUUUUGUUUAAAUUUGUUCUUGUUUUGAUUAUCAAGAUCUUAAUUCAAAAGCCUCCGUUUGUAGGAAACUUCUUUUCUAAAAGUUCCAUUUUAUGGGCGAUUAAUUUGAUUCCAGUUAUGUUUGUUGAUUUUGUUUCAGUUUAAUCAUGUAUUGAUUAUCAACAUUUUAUUCAUAUAUCUUACGGUUACGGGAGAUGAUCAAGAAUUUGAUUUUGUUUGUUGAUUUUGUUUCCACCUGUUCAUGUAUUUCAGGCUUACUCAUCUCAAGCUUUUAACAGAUAUCCAAAAAAAUCAGAGCAAAUCAUGCUCGCAUCGCAGACAUAAAUAUUAAAAAAAAAAGACUUUAGGUUACGAAUUUGUUUAUUAAUGCGAUAUGUAACUGAUGAUCAAAGAGAUGUAUAAAGAAGAUUUUGGUGAUGCAUCAGACCUUACAAAUUCCAGGAUAUCUUAAACACCUAAGAACUGCUCAUCCAGACGGAUUGAUAGCCCAAGCAAUCCAAUGUCACUGACGUUGGCGACGAAUUAUUACAGUUGUUGGCACUGUAACUUUAGUGGAGGAUCAGUCGAAACAGAACACAUUUCAGUUCUCAAUUCUUAUUCUAUAGUAGAGGAAGAAGUCUCAUGUAGAUAUUUAUUUGCCUAUGUCACCUACGGUCCUCUUCCUCUUAAGGCAGUCUCAAGAACGGAGAUUUCGAUUGCAUCGUCCUUUUGUACGUUAAGCAUAGCAUUCUUGAUCUUUUGAAGAGAGAAAUAGAGGUGUUUCAGAUGCAGUUGCACGGCUACUGAGAUAGAGAGGGCACAAAAGAACUAGAAGUUAGCUUUGAUGUGUUGGCUUCUCCGAAACUGGAAACAUCAAAAAAACUUGAACAUUGUCUAAAAUCUAAAUAUAAAAAGAGUGAACAGCCGAGUCAUCAUAUUUACUAAUAUAUGAGCAUGUAUGUAUAAAAAAUUAUGAGUAUACACAAGGAUUUGGUUAAUGUAUUUUUGUAUAUAAUAUUAUUUCCAGAAUAUAAUUCUUCUUUAAUCUUCUUCUCUACA
Long non-coding RNA from Brassica napus (rape), 1546 nucleotides. RefSeq lists it as uncharacterized. The transcript is spliced from 3 exons. NCBI's taxonomy places the organism in Eukaryota, Viridiplantae, Streptophyta, Magnoliopsida, Brassicales, Brassicaceae. The record is from RefSeq and is a predicted model, not a curated record.